This 468-nucleotide ribosomal RNA is filed under the name uncultured bacterium. RNAcentral's name for it is "partial 16S ribosomal RNA". It matches the Rfam family "Bacterial small subunit ribosomal RNA", at positions 28 to 507 of the family's 1533-position model. The record is from RNAcentral.
GACGAACGCUGGCGGCGUGCUUAACACAUGCAAGUCGAACGGAAAGGCCCGGCUUUUGUGGGUUGCUCGUGUGGCGAACGGGUGAGUAACACGUGAGUAACCUGCACUUGUCUUUGGGAUAACUUCAGGGAACUGGGGCUAAUACCGGAGAGGAUCUCCUGCUGCGUGGUGGGGGUUGGAGAGUUUCGGCGGUGGGGGAUGGACUGGCUGCUUAUCAGCUGGUUUGGGGGGUAGUGGCGUUCCAAGGCUUCGAGGGGUAGGCGGCCUGGGAGGGGGACCGGCCACCUGGGGACUGCGAUACGGCCCAGUAGCCUACGGGCCGCAACAGGGGGGAAUCUUGCACAAUGGGGGGACGCGUGAUGCAGCAACGCCGCGUGCGGGAUGCCGGCCUUCGGGUUGUAAACAGCUUUGGACGGUGCCGAAGCGUGAGUGACGGUAAUGGGUAAAGAAGCACCGGCUAACUACGUG